Long non-coding RNA from Fundulus heteroclitus (mummichog), 306 nucleotides. RefSeq lists it as uncharacterized. NCBI's taxonomy places the organism in Eukaryota, Metazoa, Chordata, Actinopteri, Cyprinodontiformes, Fundulidae. The transcript is spliced from 2 exons. The record is from RefSeq and is a predicted model, not a curated record.
UCUACAUCAGUCUGCCAGGAGAGCAGCUCAAUGGGAAAGAGCUUUAUUCAGACCAAAUUGAAGGGAGAAAGCUUCCAGAAGAGAAUGAAGGAAAAGAAUCCAUCAGGAUACAAGAUCAUGGAGAUGCUUCAAUUUUUUUAAAGACUGAAGACAGUGAGGAUGAUAAAGAGGACAGUGAUGUGGAGAACCCUCUCUCUGAGCUGAAACUGUUGCCAGACUCUGGGUAUGAGAAAUCUUCUACAGAGAAGAAAAAAUUUAGGAAAGGCCACACAGGAGUUGAGCUUAGCUGCAAAGACUGUGGCAAAA